UAACUCUCCAAUAAAAUAAAUUAAUUUUUUUAUUCCAAUUAUUUUACAUAGAAAUUAGUACUGUAAUAAAUUAUAACUCUUAGGGUUAGGACGAGG
This 96-nucleotide long non-coding RNA is filed under the name Scophthalmus maximus (turbot). Its description in RNAcentral is "lncRNA (ENSSMAG00000029493.1)". Lineage: Eukaryota; Metazoa; Chordata; Actinopteri; Pleuronectiformes; Scophthalmidae. The record is from RNAcentral.